CGAAAACAGUACUGUUUGGUGGAAGUCUUGCAAGAAAUUUCUAAAUCAUAACUAAUCUGUGUAAACCAUCCAUCUUUUCUUUGCUUUAACUAACUCUAUUUGCUUGCCAGUUUCUCUAUCUUUGCUUUAAUGAAAAUCGGUCAAAAAUAGUACACCUUUUACUUUUUCUUGCCAAGAACAAGCAUAAAAAAUAUAGAGAAUUGAAGAAUGCAAAUAAAACACUAGAGAAUUAGUGCUCUCUCUUUUUCUCCAAAUACCUAACUUCCUGUAUCAUCUUCACCAUGUAGGCCCGAGUGCAAGUUAGUUCAAAGGAUUGUUGAAGAUGUUUUAUUGAAAUUGCCUAAAUAUAUCUCAAAUGAGCAUUUCUAUGGGCACCUCAUUGGGAUUGGAAAAAAAGUCGAAGAAAUUGAAUUGUCAUUAUCCAUUGGGUCAACAGAUGUUCAUAUUGUAGGAAUUUGGGGGAUGGGAGGUAUUGGUAAGACUACUCUUGCUAGUGUUGUAUAUCAAAGAUUAUCAUAUUCUCAAUUCAAAGGUUGCUGCUUUAUUUGGAAUGUUAGGGAAGAAUAUGCAAGACAUGGGGCCAAUCAUUUAAGAAAAAAACUUUUAUCUGAGUUGUUAAACGAUGAAGCUAUUCUAAAGAUGGAUUCCCCAUUUGUAGCAUCUCCAUGUAUUCUUGAUAGACUUAGACAUACAAAGGUACUCAUUGUUCUGGACGAUGUGGAUAGUUCAAACCAAUUAGAAGCUUUAGUUGAAGGGUAUUAUCGGCUUGCCCCUGGAAGUAGAAUCAUUGUUACAACUAGAAAUAUGCAGGUGCUAAAGAAAGUGACUGAUAGAUUUUACAAGGUUGAGCUAUUAAAUCACGCUGAAUCUCUUGAACUCUUCCGUUUACAUGCUUUUGGCAAAAAUUCUCCAGUAAUUGAUGAUGAAAUGGUGUUAGAAGUGACAAGAUAUGCAAAUGGAAAUCCAUUAGCUCUUAAGGUCUUGGGUUCUUUCCUUCACUCCAAAAGCAAAGAAGAAUGGAAAAUUGCAUUGAAUAAAUUGAAAAUAAUUCCAAACCGAGAAAUCCAAGAUGUGUUGAAAAUAAGUUAUGAAGGACUGGAUGAUAAAGAGAUUCAAAGUAUAUUUCUUGACAUUGCAUGUCUAUUUGAUCAAUCUUUUACAAGAGAUCAUGUAGAAAGCAUAUUAAAGGCCAGUGAUCCGUUUGUGAAAAUAGCAAUAAGUGUUCUCAUCGAUAGGUCUUUAAUUGAAAACAGGGUAAGUCCUAUAGGAAACAAGUUAUGGAUGCAUGAUUUGAUACGACAAAUGGGUCGAACAAUUGUUUGUGAUGAACAUAAAGAGCCUGGAAAUCGCAGUAGGUUGUGGGAUCCUAAAGACAUCUGCCACGUAUUGGAAAGAGAUACAGGAACUGCAAUGGUUGAAGGCAUAUCGCUCAACAUGUGUAGAAUGAACAGAGAUGUGAAAGUUCAUCGUGCCGCCUUUUCUAUGAUGUACAAUCUACGAAUUUUCAAAAUCUUUGUUUGCCAUAAUAUGAAUGAGAAUAAGUGGUACAUUUGUGACUGUAAAGACAAGAAUAAGUUCAAACUAUACCUUCCUCAAGGUCUUGAUUCUUAUCUUUCUGAUAAGCUAAAUUAUUUUCAAUGGGAUCUAUACCCUUUGAGAUCGUUGCCAUCACAUGUCAGCUUGGAGAAUCUUGUUGAACUGAUUCUACGUGGCAGCCGUCUUCAAAGACUUUGGAAUCAUGGAGUUCAGUCUCUACUGGUAUUAAGAAAGAUCGACCUUAGUUAUUCCAAGAUGCUUAAUGAAAUACCAGAUAUGUCUCUUGCUCCAAAUCUGGAAAGCAUAAAUUUUGAAGGCUGUACAAGUUUGGUUAAGGUUCUUUCAUCUGUUGAAAAUCUGCACAGGCUUACUUAUCUAAAUUUGAAUAGUUGCUCCAAACUAAGAGAUCUGAAAGAGAUAUCAAGGAACACAUGGUAUUGGGAUAUUGUAAACUUUAUAAACAACUUACCUCUCUACUCAUCUCAGGCCCACAUUUAUCAGACGUUUCCAGUGAACUUAACAGACUUACAUUUGGAUUGGACAGCAAUAGAAGAAGUGCCCCCAUCAAUUUGGCAUCUCUCUAGUCUUGUUCGAUUGGAUUUGAAUUAUUGCUCUGGACUUGAAAGUAUUUCUACCAGCAUCUGUAAGUUGAUAUCUCUUGAAUCUCAAAGAUUGUGUGGUUGUGUAAAACUAUUUAAGUUUCCGGAAAUCUUAGAGCCUAUGGAACAUCUUACAUAUCUUGAAUUAGGUCACUCACCGAUUCAAGAGUUACCAGAGUCAAUUAAAAAUCUAGUUUCUCUCAGAAGAUUAUGUAUCUUUAGCUGUAAAAACAUUGAGUUUCUCCCCACCAGCCUGUGUAAUUUAAGAAAACUUGAGCAUAUAAACAUCCAGAGGUGCUCAAACCUUAAAAAGUUGCCUCCCCUUCCAAAUGCUUCACUCAGUUUGUUGUUAGACCAUAAUGAAAGGCUGAAAUCAUUACCUGAGCUUCCAUCAUCAUGUUUUUGUCUGUCUGCAAUAUGCUGCACGUCACUAGAGACCAUACCAAAUUGGAAGGCUCCAUUAUUACACCAUCUAAGUAGCAAUCAUAGUCGAGGGCAAAUCAACUUUUAUGGUUGUGAAAAAUUGGAUCAGAAUACACGCAACAUCAUACUGGCUGGCCGUGGAAUAUUUCAAAUUCUGUCUGGUUUAAAAUUUGGAAGAAUGUGUGACGAUUUUGAAUUUUGUUAUCCUGGCGAUGAAAUUCCAAAGUGGUUCAGCUACCAAAGUGGCAGUACCUCAAUGAAUAUUAGGCUUCCUCCAUAUUGGAAUAAUGACAACUUCUUGGGUUUGGCUUUCUGUGUUGUUAUUUACCAGCAUAAAAUUAUCGACCAUCCUCUGUUUCUCGGAAUUGGUUGUAAACUCAAUUUCAAAACCAUCCCUGAUAGUCUUCUGUGUGAGCAUGAUUCUUUUAUGCGUCUUGGGGGCGACGACGAUAGUUCAGAUCACGUGGUCAUGUGGUAUGUCGAAGAACUGACUUUGCAAAAUUCAGGACUAAGUUGGCGCUCAAAUUGUUGCACCAUGGCCUGUUUACAUUUGUCGCUUGAAUGUGGAUACUGUCAUGAUGUUGAUGAGGAUGUUAACGUCAAUUACAAUGAUGAUACCUACAUAGAUGGAAAUGAAUAUGGGGAGAUUAAGAAAUUUGGGGUUUGGUUUGUAUACAAGGAAGAUAUAGAGAGAUUUGAUGUAGAUACUAAAAGUAAAAAUAAGAGACGCUUUGACGAAUGUUGCGAAACCAGUGGAAGUGAAGGCUCUCAUGGUAUAGAAAAUGAUGUAUUGCAUUCGAAGAAACUCAAGGUUAUGUCACUUAUAUGACUGUUAAGAGAUUAUAGAGCAAUUGAAUGUUGAGGAGCCCAAAAAAUAAAAAAAUAAAAAUUCUGUGCUACAACUAAACUAAGAAGCAGGCUUUGAUCAUGAAUUGAGAUUAUGUAGCCAGUUUCUCGGUGAUCUGUGACCACUUAGUUUCAGGCUAUGAAGAAACUGUGUACCUAUGCAGCAUGAGUGCAUGACAGCCUUAACAUUGAAAUUACAAAGUUCUCUUCCCCUUGUUAUUUUUCUGAUCUUGGCAUAGAAAACCCUGUUUGUGUGAUAUCAAUAUGAAUUUCUUUCACUACGAACCAUUUUACAUAUAUUUGGAGAGAAAAUUAAAUAAAAUAUAGAAUGUAUUACUUUUUGCAUAUGAUUCUGAGUUGUUUGUGAUGAAUUUUUUUUGUGUAAAAUACAUUGAGUUGAACAUUCUUAUCUUUCUGAGUUUAUAAUAUUUAUCUAUUUGAUUUAAUUUCCUUGUUUGAUACUAUUCUGUGCCAAAGUGUUAGAUAAAAUGUGUUUAUGCAUAGUUGGUCAUUUUUGUAUUUUGAAUUGUUUGCCUAAAUGAGUACUCUUUCCAUUACUAGCUAAACAAUAGAUUCUGACUCAGCAUUUAGAUUUGAUUUUGCAUUGGAUAAAAAGGUAAUUUCGAAAGGAAAAGUUUUUUUUUCUUUUGUUUGAAAUGAUAUAAAGAGAGGGAAAAUAAAAAAUAAAAAAUAAAGUUGUUAUGAAAAGCAUUUUGAUGGAUUUUUCAUUUAUCGGUUUGUGUUUUUUUAUAGAUUUAGGCUAUGAAGAAUCCAUCACAACACAGCUUCAUAGGAAUGGUGUAGCAUCAAUUUCUUUAACUUCUAAUACUAUGAGUCAUUUUGCAGAGAAGUGAACACAAUAUAGAAAUAUAUUACAUAUGGAUAUGAUUCUGUAAUAAGACAAGUUAUAUGGUUAAGCAAUUUUGCUAUAGUACCGUUCACAUCCACGUUAUCAAGGUAACUCCUUUCCCCAUUAAGUAAUGAAGUUGCCGCUGUUACCGAAAUUACAUAUUAUUUUUUUAACAUUAAGUAAUUGAUACAAUAUGCAGAGCUUAAACCAGAGUUAACUCAAACUUAGCUAAUUAACCGUCUGACUCAGCUUUGAUAAAAAACAGAGUUAGUGAUCAAUGUUACAACCACAUAUACCCAAUAAGACCGGCAUUGACUGCUGACUUUGUGACUUCUUGUUUGUUUUUUACUUUUUUUUUUUUUUUUUUCAAACAACUUGUAGUUCACGAGGAGAGCUAGAAUUUAAACAAUUCUUGAAUCUUCUCCUUUUACACUUUUCCGCCCUUUUUUUUUUCUUUUAUACAUAUUUUAGAACCAAAUAUGGGAUUUUAAAAUCCUUGCACUUUUUGUUUCCUUUUAUUCCUCACUAUAUUUUCUCUGCUUAUAAUCAAAAGUGUUAUCUUUAUUGAUCUCUGUUUAAGUCUGAGUUACUAUGUUUUUCUCCUGUCUCCCAGCUUGAGGAUCCCUUAAUAGCUGGACUAGGACUUUAUAUUUAGACUAAGACUUUAUAUUCAAAAGAUACACUCAUAUCGGCAUUGACCGCCGACUUUAAACUCGGACUUUAUAUUCACAUAUCGGCAUUGACCGCUGACUCACACUUAUAAGUGUUAUCUAGGUUUUUUGGUCGACAAUUUGCAGCUUACUGAGGGGGGAAGAGAGAGAGCGAGAGAGAGAGAGAGAGAGAGAGAGAAUCUACAUUAUAAAGUUCUCCAUAUUGAGCUUUGUAUCUACACCAUUCUUCACUAAGAAAGCUUUAAUUUGUAAACAUGGCUUCUUCUUCUUCUUGUCUUUCUUCCGCAAUCUUUCCUCAACAAAAGCAUGAGAUUCAAGAAAAAUAUUAUGUGUUUCUUAGUUUUAGAGGUGAAGACACCCGCCAUCAAUUUGUAAGCCAUCUUUAUGCUGCUUUAUCUGCAAAGCAUAUUUCAACUUUCAUGGAUGAUCAUGAACUUCAGAUCGGUGAUGAAAUUUCACACACACUUAGCAAAGCAAUCCAUGAUUCCAAAAUCUGGAUUAUCAUUUUCUCAUAAAAUUAUGCUUUCAUCUAUGUGGUGUUUGAAUGAACCGGUGGAAAUUCUUGAAUGCAAGAAAAGGAAUGAGCAGAGUGUUGUCAUUCCAAUCUUUUAUGGUAUAGAUCCAUCGGAUGUACGAAAACAGGAGGGAAGUUGUAAAGUUGCAUUUGCUAAACUUGAAGAACGUUUUAAAGACGGAAUGGAGAAGAUGCAUCAAUGGAGGGCUGCAAGACAGAAGCGUCUAAUCUAUGUGGAUUGGAUUCAAAGAGUUUCAUAUUUCCUCCAUUUUUGAACACCGCAUCUGCAAAACAAACUGUAAAGAAGCAGCCAAAUACGAGGUCACGAAACCAUCUGUUUUCACCUUCUACCCAAUUCAGGUCUCCAAUCGCAUUUCUUCAAUAGAUCUCGGCUCUUGGAGUCAGGUUUCCUUCUCUUCUCUUCCUCCUCUUCUCUCCAUUUACACCCCUGCUCUCUCUCUCUCUCUCCCUCUCUCUCUUUUAUCUUCUUCAACCUCUGGAAAACCUAGCUUACAGUUUCUUUUCAAAUAGCAAGGGGUUUGAAUUAUCUACAUGAGAAUUAUAAAUUGAAGAUGGCACAUAGGGGUAUUAAAACUGCUAAUAUCCUUGUUGGUGAUGCUCUAAACGCUAAGAUAUCAGACUUUGCUAAUAUCCUUGUUGAUGAUGCUCUAAACGCUAAGAUAUCAGACUUUGGGAAUCCUAUCCUUUAUGCAGAGGAUGGAUAGGACAAUGAAUUUAAGGUCAUCAAAGUAAAAGCAACACGUGGAUACAUCAUAAAUGGCUCUUGAGUACCCAAUGUACGGAAAGAUAUCGCAAACAUACUAUGUCUAUGGUUAUGGUGUUGUUGUACUUGAAAUUGUUAGUGCGAAGAAAAAUGCAGAAAAUAAAUUCAACCAGAAGCAACAUGAGUUUCUGGCAGAGGAGAAUCAAAACACAAGCUGCUGGAAUUAGUGGAUAAUUGACCAUCUUAACAUUAGCAGUGAAGUGCACCAAUAUAUUCACCACUGUCAGACCCACAACGUCUGAUGUUGUAAGUUCUCUCACUGGCUGUUAGAGAAUAGUUAGUACAACUGAUGUUUAAAACAUUUAACAUAUCGAGCUUCUAUGCUUCAGAGCAAGCAGUAUUGUCACUCUAUGCAGUAGGAUGAAUCUCAGGAUGCACUGUUGAUAUUGGCCAUGGAAAGAUAGCAUUGGAGAAGCAAGUAAUAGAUCCAGUAGAAAAUUGAAGCACAAAAUUUGCAAUCGUAGAGUUACAAGUGCAUGCUAAGAAAAUUACAUACACAUUCACAGAGAUAGAGAAAGAGAGAGAUAAAUAGAGUUCUUCCGGAGGAAGUAUGCUCAUGAGGCUUACAACAAAGAACUAAGCAUAUGAGCUGGGUGGUGAUGCAUUUUUCUUUACUUUUGUCAUGUUUAUAGAUGCAUUUUUUUUUUCUUUCUAAUAUUAGCCUUUGAGUAGUAAAGAUAAUGGUGAAUUAUAAUGUUCAUUUAACGAAGAUAACGAUGUGUUAUUGAUGUAAUGAUAACUAAUUGACCUUAUUGAAAAUGUGCCAUGUUUAUUUAUUAGAAUUCCAUUA
This is an RNA transcript of Ziziphus jujuba (common jujube), 7013 nucleotides long. It is a transcript of the gene named disease resistance-like protein DSC1, with no coding region annotated. The record is from RefSeq and is a predicted model, not a curated record. Lineage: Eukaryota; Viridiplantae; Streptophyta; Magnoliopsida; Rosales; Rhamnaceae. The transcript is spliced from 10 exons.